CAGCAGCCACGGUAAUACGGAGGGUGCAAGCGUUGUCCGGAUUUAUUGGGUUUAAAGGGUGCGUAGGCGGCCUAAUAAGUCAGUGGUGAAAGCCUCCAGCUUAACUGGAGAACUGCCAUUGAUACUGUUAGGCUUGAGUAUACUUGAGGUAGGCGGAAUUGACAGUGUAGCGGUGAAAUGCAUAGAUAUUGUCAAGAACACCAAUUGCGAAGGCAGCUUACUAAAUUAUAACUGACGCUGAGGCACGAAAGUGUGGGUAUCAAACAGGAUUAGAUACCCGAGUAGUCCCUGUCUCUUAUAC
Molecule: ribosomal RNA, 301 nt
Filed under: uncultured bacterium
Lineage: Bacteria
Description: partial 16S ribosomal RNA
Rfam family: Bacterial small subunit ribosomal RNA
Source: RNAcentral